This 460-nucleotide ribosomal RNA is filed under the name uncultured bacterium. Its description in RNAcentral is "partial 16S ribosomal RNA". It matches the Rfam family "Bacterial small subunit ribosomal RNA", at positions 338 to 795 of the family's 1533-position model. The record is from RNAcentral.
CCUACGGGAGGCAGCAGUGAGGAAUAUUGGUCAAUGGACGAGAGUCUGAACCAGCCAAGUAGCGUGAAGGAUGACUGCCCUAUGGGUUGUAAACUUCUUUUAUAUGGGAAUAAAAUGUUCCACGUGUGGGAUUUUGUAUGUACCAUAUGAAUAAGGAUCGGCUAACUCCGUGCCAGCAGCCGCGGUAAUACGGAGGAUCCGAGCGUUAUCCGGAUUUAUUGGGUUUAAAGGGAGCGUAGGUGGAUUGUUAAGUCAGUUGUGAAAGUUUGCGGCUCAACCGUAAAAUUGCAGUUGAAACUGGCAGUCUUGAGUACAGUAUAGGUGGGCGGAAUUCGUGGUGUAGCGGUGAAAUGCUUAGAUAUCACGAAGAACUCCGAUUGCGAAGGCAGUUCACUGGACUGCAACUGACACUGAGGCUCGAAAGUGUGGGUAUCAAACAGGAUUAGAUACCCGAGUAGUC